GAUGCCUUUUAUAAUGAGGAAGUUAAAAAGAUAAUUAUGGAAAUUAAUUCCUGAACUGCUAUGGCCUGUGAACUCUACCAAGCAGAACUUUGAAUGUGAAGGGCAUAGCUGCAAUACAGAGCUAAAAUGGGAAAACCUCAUCUUAGCAGUCUCUUAGGGGGUGAGCUGAUCUUUUUUUCAUACAACCCCACACAGUCAUCUUUAACAAGGGUGUCAUGCAUGAGUUUGUGUGUGUGUGCAUGUACUCUGUGGUAUGAUCACAUGCCUGUGAGUGUCCCGUCACCUGAUGCAUAUUAGCCAAUGCAUGUUCUAUUAACCAAUCAAUUUAUUGAGCUAAAUAGGCUAAAUCAAACUAAAUGACAUCAACUUGCUCUACAAGGCUAGAAAUGAAUUGGGACAAGUGUGUUUUAAAUGCUAGUCAGAAUGCAUGGGUGAAAAAGGAAAGAAUAAGAGAAGAGAGAAAAGAGAAUCGAAUCCCUGAUCUACUCAUUUCUUCCCAUUCCCAGCAACUGCCUAAUCUACUUUUGCAGAUAGAUUAGAAAAUACCCCAGCCUGCAGAACCUUGUCAGCACCCUACCACAUUAGGCUGAUGCCAAGCUCAAGGCAUGAAGAAAUUCAAGAUCAAUGCUGAGAAAUGCAUUUCUUAGGUUCUUAAGUAGUCUUUGGUCAUAAUCUGAUUUCUUUUCAACCAAUCCAACUUCUUUCCAGCUCUGUGCUUUGGAUAAUAGGAAGGGCCAUAAGCACACUCCAAAUGUGGAUUCUGAGAAGUCACUUCAGAAACAGUCUUCCUGGAAUUCUGUGUGGUUUUGAGCGGAAUAUCAAUCAGUAAUAUCCAUGUACUGCUAAAAUGGAAGGAGAAAGGACUAUAUAUUUCUAUUUUCUCAUACUGCCAAGGUGCACACCUCCUAUAAUUUUCAGAGACCCACACUAUAAUUCACUCUGUCCUAUGAUCUGCCUCUUUUCUCUCUCUCAUUAGAUUUAAUUCAGUAAUCACACCCUACAAGCCAUUCAGGCAGAAAUACCCUUGCUGAUUGCAACUUUCACCAGCUAGUCUGUGAAUAUUGCUGUUAUGUGUGUGUAUAUACAUGUAUGUGUGUAUCUGCAUAUGAGAGAAUGAAAAAGAAUGUUGUCUUCAGCACAAGCUGCCUUCUCUGUUUUUUUAGCUAUUAUUAAAUUUACUGGAGUAUAAUUGAUUUACAAUAUUGUGUUUAUUUCAGAAAACAGUUCUGGGAUUUUCUAGUCUCACCUUUACAAUGAAUAAUUUUUAAUUUGCACAAAUUUGGAUCACUGCGUACUUUUAUCUUGCAUUUACAUUUAUAUAUGUUUUAGUAAGGGGAGGAUAAACAAAAGGAGACAAGAAUAAGUAUACGGCAAUAAACACAGAAAAUAGUUUUUCUUUAAUGGAGAAAGUAAUUACAUAGAUACACAACGUGUACUGUCAACCUUCAAGAAUCUUAGGAUGAAAAAUAUUUUUUAUCACUUAAUUAGAAGGGCUUUCUAAGAAAUGUAACUUGAGAAAAUAGAGUGAGGGGGAGGGAAAGGGAAGUUAAUAUUUAUUAGACAUCUACUAUGUAUUCAAACACAGUGGUAGCUGUGUUUGUACAGAAUAGCUAAUCUAAUCCUCUGAACAGCCUUUGAAAUAAGUAGUGUUAGCCCUAAUUUUUGAUAGCUGUGGAAACUGGAACUCCAAUAAGUUAAUUCAUUUACCUAAAAUCAUACAAGUAAAUGGUGAACAGCCAAUUUGAUUUCAGAUUAGUUGACUUCAAAAGGUAAAUUUUCCUGGAUUUAUUUGGGGAAACUUUUUUUUCUAUGCAUGAUAAAACAUCUCUGAUGAUUAGGUUACCAUCUGUGGUUAGAAAUAAUAAGAUGUAUGAUACGGGACACUUUGUCUUCUCAAUCUAGGACAUGAAUGUAAAAUUCUGCUGUUUUGUGCAGAGUUUGUAGAAGUUCCAAGAUUUCUUAGGUGAGCAGUUUUCUGGUUGUUGGCCCUACCUGGGUGCCUGAGGUAUAUUCACAGCCUUAUUAGUUCUUUCAUAGACCCAGGGAAGAAGAGCCCUGCACUGGGUCCCACACUUCUCCACCUGGCCCUUCCAUGGCCAUAUCUCUCCUUGUAGGGUGAAGGGUACCCUCUCCUACCCUGUGCACUGAUAUCCCAGUACCCACUGCCCAAGAAUCCCAGACACAUUUCCUAGGUCUGCACUGGCAUCUUGCUUGUCCUGGAAAGGGAUGGCCCAGGCAAGUUUUCAGGGGCUGUCAAGGAGUAUGAACAUGAGGGUAAGGGCUCCUCCCAAACACACUCUACGGCUGAGGCCAGGACAGGUUGAGAAGUAGAGAAAUUCAUGGGCAGAGACCAAUAGUUAGGGUGGCUCUUCCAGCUCCACCUUCCUCAGACACAGAACUUCAAGCUGUUGAGGAUUCUAAAUGGAGGUCCAGCAGAUGGAGGGUUUGGGGAAUGGACUGUGGGGGGUUGGGAUUGGCAUAUACACACUGAGGUAUAUGGAGUCAUUGGCCAAUGGGGACCUGCUAUAUAGCACUGAAAAGUCUACCAAAUAUUCUAUGAUAAUCUAUGUGGGAAAAGAAUCUGAAAGAGAAUAGAUGUGUGCAUGUGUGUAACUGAAUCACUUUGUUGUACAGCAUAAAUUAUCACAACCUUAUAAAUCAACUAUACUUCAAUAAAGCUGUAAAAAAAAAUAUUUGAAAAAUAAAUGGAGGGGGAGUUCCCGUCGUGGCGCAGUGGUUAACAAAUCCGACCAGGAACCAUGAGGUUGCGGAUUUGAUCCCUGGCCUUGCCCAAUGGGUUAAGUAUUGGCAUUGCCGUGAGCUGUGGUGUAUGUCACUGAUGCAGUUCGGAUCCCGUGUUGCUGUGGCUCUGACGUAGGCCAGUGGCUACAGUUCCAAUUAGAUCCCUGGCCUGGGAACCUCCAUAUGCUGCAGGUGUGGCCUUAGAAAAAAGGCAGAAAAGACCAAAAUAAAUAAAUAAAUGGAGUCCCGGCCUUCUAGGAGGAUAUGAUGGUAUUAUUUUGAUAAUAGCCCACAGGUCUCUAUUUGUAAUGUUGUCCUGGACCACAUAUAUAAUCAACUUGAAUAUUACACUACUCUGAUUAUAUUUUACUGUGUAAAGGGGAUCCACCUUGGUACGUUCAAAUGUGAUUAUAGUUUUAAACAAAUUUCAGGCGACCCUUUUUUCUCCAGCUUCCUCCAAUGCUGAGGAACAGAGAUCUGACCACUUAGAAAGCAGUCUCCCUUGAACACCAGCGUCCCGACACUGGUUCCCUUCCCCUGGCAGCCGUACAGGCAACUCAUCUCCUCUCCCAUAAAAAUGUGCUUAUGAUGGCGGGGCGUGGGUCUCAACGGCUUCUCUUAAUGCCAAACUUGUAGAGUUGUGAUGAAAAUUAAAGAAAAUAAAUGUAAAAUCAUAGUAAGUAUAGUGUUUGAUAAAAGAACACACUGACUCACUGAGUAGAUACACAGUAAAUGGUGAUUUCCUUCCUGGCCCUUCCCUUCUGCUGGAGCAGUCUUUUUAUAUCAGCUGGAAACAUGAGGAUUCCACAGCUCUCAGGUCGAUUGAACUUUGUUCAGCACACACAUUUACCACUCUCCAUUGUGUCAUAAAUAGAAGAGGCUAAUGAGGCCUGAGAUACCCUUUUAUCGGGUCCCUCACUAUUAAACACCCAGCUCAACUCAAGAGCCACCUUGCAUGUCCCCUCCUGCUUUUGCUCAUCCUUACCCUUGGCUUUACUCUUAGACCACACCCCUCCCCCACGCACUCAUUUCCCCGAAGUAUGGUCACUUCAUCUCUGUCCUUGGGCUUUUAGUCAGAUGAAUGUAAAACACUUAUCCUAGAGACCUGGCCUGAGUUGGUACAAAAUGUCACAGUGCAUUUGCUUAAAAAAGUAAAAAUAAAGUCAUCUGUGCUAUUUAUCUCUUGCUGUCCACAGAGAAAUGGCAGUUGCUGAUUUUAAUCUAUUGUGAUGGAGUGUUGCUUAGCCUAAAACACUCUGCUUUUCUCACACACGGAUGCAGAACUAAAAUCCACAGAAGCGGCUGGCCAAUUGCUUGAACUAGAGGUGCACGAGCUGUCCCCCCACAGAGAAUUUUCUCUUUCUCAUUCUCUGCUUUGCAUGCUCUUAGCAUAUUGAGAGUGACUUAUAUUUGGGAUUGCAUCUUUUCUUUUUUUGCAUUAAAUCAGCAUGCAGUGUGUGGUACAUUUCAGAUUUAAAUAUGCAGCAACUCUGUAUGGGGCAAGAUGGGAAGAAAAUAUGCCCUGUGGCCCUGGCUAUGUUUUAAAACUAAAGUGAUGAGAGAGUAGAACCAGAGGCAAGUAUUCUGAAGAUACUAUUAUUAGGGGCAUUUCUCUGUUGAUUUCUUAAGCAGCCUUUGCAUUAAUAAGAGUUUUGGUAUUAGGAUAGCUUAACGAGGUGCUAAUUAGUGAAGAAGAACUGAGCCCUCUGUUAAGUUCCCCAAACUGCAUUGUUUACAAGGGGUCAGAUGUUCUCUGCAUAUUUCUACAUGAGCAAAAUAAUUACAGUACAUUCUAAUCUCAUUUCAAAUAUCAUCCAACCAACCUGUUUUCAACCUGUGUAUGCACACACAUGUUCGCCUAUGCACGCGCGCGCGCGUGCACAUUCACACACACACAGUUUAAGACAGUACAAGCCGAGUGGACUAAAAGUGGAUUAUAGAAAAUGGAAGGAAUCUGAUCCCCUCAUCUCUAUUCAUUUCUCCUGGAGUUAACUGCUGACUUAUCGACAAUGAAUUUGGGCUCAGCUUGAGUCAGUCACAUAUUUCAUUUAGAACCGACAGGUUACAAUCUACCUAUUGGCAUCCUGCUGGUAUCACGUGACACACUUAUGAUGUCUGUUGCAUGCCAGCCAUGUUCCAGAUGAACAUCUUUGGGUGAGUUAUUCCCCACAACUAUUAAAUUAGAAACAGUGCUUGUCUCAAGCCCAAGAGACAGAAGAAGCUAGGGUGAAUUUAGCAGCACUGAGAGAGCCCUUUUGCACACUAAAAACAGUGAGGCAGUAACAGGACAACUUCCAAACCCACUUAAUAAAACCUAUUUAUUUAAUAAAAGACUGCUAAGCCUUUGCCUAAUUAGAAAGAAAGCUUCAAUGUAAAUAUCACUCAAAGAUAACAUUGGUUCCAAGCCAUCACGCAAAUUUAUUUCUGGGGUAAAUUAAUUAAAUGCAAUUCAAUGAAAUGUUGUCUGUUAUGUUUUUUGAGAACCUAUUUCUGUGUCAUAUGCUAUGAAAUAUUCUAAGGUCAUACUUAAAGCUAGGGCAUUUUUAAAGACAGACCCAUGAUAAUUCCUCAUGUGAAUAUGGUUACAGUUAUUCACUCUCACUUCUCUCAUUUCCAAGUAACUAUCGUAAAGGACCACACAAAUAUUUCCAUGGCUCAGAAGGAGCACUCCCAUCCAAUUUUUGAAGUAUAGAGGGGCUGUUAUGACAAAGCUGGUAUUUAGUUUGGCCUAGAAUAAUGAAAAUCACUUCCUUAAGUGGACUUGGAAUCGGGGUUUCUUAGGUAUCCAUAAUAACAGCAAAGCCAUUGAGAUUUGGAAAAUUCUAGGUCAUUUUUUUGGAAGGUGCCUGUAGUUUUAUUUAGCUGGAAUUUUGGUCAUGCUGCUUCAAUUCUAUGUCAUAUAGGGUCUUAAGUGUCAGGUAAAGUAAUUAGAAUAUAAUUGAAAGUAGUGAGUGGCUAAUGAUGGUUUUUAAGCAUAAGAUAAUAAGAUGAUAGCUGUAUUCUAAAAAGAUUAAUCUAUCAGUGCUAUGGGAAAGUAAAAAGACCAAGUAUUUCAGGUAAAGGACAAAAUGUGUCUCAAUUACAGUGAUACCACUGUGGAAAGGAACCUGUUUUAUGAAAAAACUGCCAAGGCUGACACUGUUAGACUGUGUCAAGGUAAGGAAAAGGAAGCAUCUGAGAUUAAAAGCUAUGUAGUUUAGAACUGAUGCCUGAAAUAGUGAAGGCAAAAUGAAUAACAAAAGACAUGAAGAGGAAAA
RNAcentral lists this long non-coding RNA (5999 nucleotides) under Sus scrofa (pig). RNAcentral's name for it is "lncRNA (ENSSSCG00025057255.1)". Lineage: Eukaryota; Metazoa; Chordata; Mammalia; Artiodactyla; Suidae. The record is from RNAcentral.